GAAUGCUGACAUAAGUAACGAUAAAGCGGGUGAAAAGCCCGCUCGCCGGAAGACCAAGGGUUCCUGUCCAACGUUAAUCGGGGCAGGGUGAGUCGACCCCUAAGGCGAGGCCGAAAGGCGUAGUCGAUGGGAAACGGGUUAAUAUUCCCGUACUUGGUGUUACUGCGAAGGGGGGACGGAGAAGGCUAUGUUGGCCGGGCGACGGUUGUCCCGGUUUAAGCGUGUAGGUGUGUGUUCCAGGUAAAUCCGGUUCACUUUAACACUGAGGCGUGAUGACGAGGCACUACGGUGCUGAAGCAACAAAUGCCCUGCUUCCAGGAAAAGCCUCUAAGCAUCAGGUAACAUCAAAUCGUACCCCAAACCGACACAGGUGGUCAGGUAGAGAAUACCAAGGCGCUUGAGAGAACUCGGGUGAAGGAACUAGGCAAAAUGGUGCCGUAACUUCGGGAGAAGGCACGCUGACACGUAGGUGAAGUGAUUUACUCAUGGAGCUGAAGUCAGUCGAAGAUACCAGCUGGCUGCAACUGUUUAUUAAAAA
This 538-nucleotide ribosomal RNA is filed under the name Salmonella enterica subsp. enterica serovar Typhimurium str. SL1344. RNAcentral describes it as "partial 23S ribosomal RNA". It matches the Rfam family "Bacterial large subunit ribosomal RNA", at positions 1292 to 1813 of the family's 2925-position model. The record is from RNAcentral. Lineage: Bacteria; Pseudomonadati; Pseudomonadota; Gammaproteobacteria; Enterobacterales; Enterobacteriaceae.